This 170-nucleotide ribosomal RNA is filed under the name uncultured rumen bacterium. RNAcentral's name for it is "partial 16S ribosomal RNA". It matches the Rfam family "Bacterial small subunit ribosomal RNA", at positions 340 to 524 of the family's 1533-position model. The record is from RNAcentral.
UACGGGAGGCAGCAGUGGGGAAUAUUGGGCAAUGGACGAAAGUCUGACCCAGCGACGCCGCGUGAAGGAAGAAGGUCUUCGGAUUGUAAACUUUAGUCAACAGGGAAGAAGAAAGUGACGGUACCUGUAGAGGAAGCCACGGCUAACUACGUGCCAGCAGCCGCGGUAAU